CAACUAUAGUCUGUGCUAACCCUAAUAUUGUUUUUGUAAAAAAAAUCAAAUAUGUUCAUCCCUUCUCUCCCUUAUUCGGCGACGAUGACGGUAGAACUUCCUCAACUGUCAUGAAACGGAUCUGUGAUUAAUCCCAUCAAUUGAGAGGUCGGGUAUAAAUAGAGGUUGUUUUUCGAUCUGAAGUCCGGCAAGUGUUCUCCUGCGAUUCUGGGAGGCCAGGAAUGUCAAGCGCUCAUGUGGCUUGAUAUGCUGAUGGUGGACGUUUUAUUAUUUAGAUGUAUCACUUGGAAAGAUAUUCUCUUCCCUGAAACAAAGAAUAUCACCAUUAUUUGUUUCCAGAGGCUGAUAAGAUCAAAGACUGAAACCAACGGUUAUCAACCACGCUGAUACAUUUAGAUCGGUUUCAGACAAUGAAACCAAACUUCAGGAAGAGAAAGUUUGAAAGUUGAUCCCAGCUGGAGUCUCCAGCGUUGUUGUCUCCUACAACGUUCAAAGGUUUUUUUAGUUUCACAAUCUCUCUCUCUUGCCUCUGACUAUAAGAAAGUGUUCUUCUUUAUGGAUUCAUGAACCGUAUGUAUAACAAUAUGAGCUAUAGUUUAGUGCAAGAUAUUCUCUUGAGAUGUUAAUUUGGUGUUUGUGAUCAGGUUUCAGGAGAGAUUGUUGGAUCCAAGAGAAGCAAGCAGGAUUAAGCUGAACUUAAUAUAGAAGUGUAAGUGGGAUAUUAUAUUGUUGAAGAUGAUUCUUAAAUGUAUCAGUGUGGUUGUCUCCAACCGAUCUUAAGCCAGUUGAUUGGUAGCCUUGAGGUGUGGUUAAUCAGGGUUCACAUUUAUAGAGUAUGUUGUUAUACGCCGGUAAAGAUUUGAUUCCCUUUUUGUGUUGCAAUGUCUCUUUUAGAAUAUCAAUACAUGUGUAUAUAUGUACUUCAGUUACCCAUAUGUCGAUUAGUUGACACACCAUUGCUGCCUUACUGGCUCUAAAAGCUUUGUUAUGAAGGUAAUCGGCACCUGAAGUACUUCUACAGUCCUAUGUAUACACAUUAAAAGUUGUGGCUCUGCUCUGGGAUCCAUGCAACAGACCGACUGAUGCAGAGGCUCUGUACGUUCCGUCCUUUCAGGUACACCAGAGAGUAUGUGCUUCAGACGCUAUGGCUGUUACCGUUCCUGUCUUGAUCAGUUGAUUUAACUUUUGUAUAUGAUGUUAAAUGUUGCUUUGCAAUCUUUGUAGCUGCAGAGGCUUUGUACGUUCCGUCCUUUCUUUUACUGGACAUAUUUUUUUUUAAAGAUAAUAUUAACAGUUUAUAUA
Molecule: long non-coding RNA, 1302 nt
Organism: Brassica napus (rape)
Lineage: Eukaryota; Viridiplantae; Streptophyta; Magnoliopsida; Brassicales; Brassicaceae
Exons: 5
Source: RefSeq, a predicted model, not a curated record